RNAcentral lists this transfer RNA (74 nucleotides) under Takydromus wolteri (mountain grass lizard). RNAcentral's name for it is "tRNA-Phe". Lineage: Eukaryota; Metazoa; Chordata; Lepidosauria; Squamata; Lacertidae. The record is from RNAcentral.
GUCAUUGUAGCUUAUUUUUUGAAAGCGCGGCACUGAAGAUGCUGAGACGAGGAACGCAAAAACCUCCCCAGACA